UACAGAGGUCUCAAGCGUUGUUCGGAUUCAUUGGGCGUAAAGGGUGCGUAGGUGGCGGGGUAAGUCAGGUGUGAAAUCUCGGGGCUCAACCCCGAAACUGCACUUGAUACUGCCUUGCUCGAGUACUGGAGAGGAGAUUGGAAUUUACGGUGUAGCAGUGAAAUGCGUAGAUAUCAGGAGGAACACCGGUGGCGAAGGCGGGUCUCUGGGCCGUAACUGACGCUGAGGAGCGAAAGCAUGGGGAGCGAACAGG
Molecule: ribosomal RNA, 253 nt
Filed under: uncultured bacterium
Lineage: Bacteria
Description: partial 16S ribosomal RNA
Rfam family: Bacterial small subunit ribosomal RNA
Source: RNAcentral